RNAcentral lists this ribosomal RNA (253 nucleotides) under uncultured bacterium. RNAcentral's name for it is "partial 16S ribosomal RNA". It matches the Rfam family "Bacterial small subunit ribosomal RNA", at positions 524 to 776 of the family's 1533-position model. The record is from RNAcentral.
GACGGAGGGUGCGAGCGUUAUCCGGAAUUACUGGGUUUAAAGGGGGCGUAGGCGGCUUUGUAAGUCAGGAGUGAAAGUUUGCGGCUCAACCGUAAAAUUGCUUUUGAUACUGCAGAGCUAGAAUCAGGAUGAGGUUAGCGGAAUGUGGCAUGUAGCGGUGAAAUGCAUAGAUAUGCCAGAGAACACCAAUUGCGAAGGCAGCUGGCUAGACCUGCAUUGACGAUGAGGCACGAAAGAGUGGGGAGCGAACAGG